CCAUACUAGCCGGGGAAUUAGCGGAGCCCUGUACCUGAAAUCCGCUACAGCAGGGGGGAAUCCCUUUCUUGAGGAUCAACUCAAAACGGCCUGAGCCGUGCCUGCUGCGUUGACGAACGGGUCUUGCGCAAUCGGGAAUUGUGAACCAUGUCAGGUGGGGAACCAAGCAGCAUUAAGCAGUCUCCCCGAUGUGCCGUGAGGUAGCCUGUUCUGAGCAGGAGGUACGGAGAUCGCGUGGCGACGAGGUUCGAUUGAAAGGUGUAUGG
This 266-nucleotide signal recognition particle RNA is filed under the name Clostridia bacterium. RNAcentral describes it as "signal recognition particle sRNA large type". It matches the Rfam family "Bacterial large signal recognition particle RNA". From Rfam's summary of the family: The signal recognition particle (SRP) is a universally conserved ribonucleoprotein involved in the co-translational targeting of proteins to membranes. Lineage: Bacteria; Bacillati; Bacillota; Clostridia. The record is from RNAcentral.